This 487-nucleotide ribosomal RNA is filed under the name Bacillus subtilis. RNAcentral describes it as "bacterial SSU rRNA". It matches the Rfam family "Bacterial small subunit ribosomal RNA", at positions 341 to 819 of the family's 1533-position model. Lineage: Bacteria; Bacillati; Bacillota; Bacilli; Caryophanales; Bacillaceae. The record is from RNAcentral.
UCGGGAGGCAGCAGUAGGGAAUCUUCUCCAAUGGACGAAAGUCUGACGGAGCAACACCGCGUGAGUGAUGAAGGUUUUCGGAUCGUAAAGCUCUGUUGUUAGGGAAGAACAAGUACCGUUUGAAUAGGGGGGUACCUUGACGGUACCUAACCAGAAAGCCCCGGCUAACUACGUGCCAGCAGCCGCGGUAAUACGUAGGGGGCAAGCGUUGUCCGGAAUUAUUGGGCGUAAAGGGCUCGCAGGCGGUUUUUUAAGUCUGAGGUGAAAGCCCCCGGCUCAACCGGGGAGGGUCAUUGGAAACUGGGGAACUUGAGUGCAGAAGAGGAGAGUGGAAUUCCACGUGUAGCGGUGAAAUGCGUAGAGAUGUGGAGGAACACCAGUGGCGAAGGCGACUCUCUGGUCUGUAACUGACGCUGAGGAGCGAAAGCGUGGGGAGCGAACUCAAUUAGAUACCCCGGUAGUCCACGCCGUAAACGAUGAGUGCUAA